AUUGAACGCUGGCGGAAUGCUUUACACAUGCAAGUCGAACGGCAGCACGGGGCAACCUGGUGGCGAGUGGCGAACGGGUGAGUAAUACAUCGGAACGUGCCCAAUCGUGGGGGAUAACGUAGCGAAAGUUACGCUAAUACCGCAUACGAUCUACGGAUGAAAGCGGGGGAUCGCAAGACCUCGCGCGAAUGGAGCGGCCGAUGUCAGAUUAGGUAGUUGGUGGGGUAAAGGCUCACCAAGCCGACGAUCUGUAGCUGGUCUGAGAGGACGACCAGCCACACUGGGACUGAGACACGGCCCAGACUCCUACGGGAGGCAGCAGUGGGGAAUUUUGGGACAAUGGGCGCAAGCCUGAUCCAGCCAUUCCGCGUGCAGGAUG
This 379-nucleotide ribosomal RNA is filed under the name uncultured bacterium. RNAcentral describes it as "bacterial SSU rRNA". It matches the Rfam family "Bacterial small subunit ribosomal RNA", at positions 30 to 410 of the family's 1533-position model. The record is from RNAcentral.